RNAcentral lists this ribosomal RNA (373 nucleotides) under uncultured bacterium. RNAcentral's name for it is "bacterial SSU rRNA". It matches the Rfam family "Bacterial small subunit ribosomal RNA", at positions 525 to 896 of the family's 1533-position model. The record is from RNAcentral.
GUAGGGUWUCCAAGCGUUGUUCGGAUUUACUGGGCGUAAAGGGCGCGUAGGCGGCGCGGUAAGUCACUUGUGAAAUCUCUGAGCUUAACUCAGAACGGCCAAGUGAUACUGCAGUGCUAGAGUGUGGAAGGGGCAAUCGGAAUUCUUGGUGUAGCGGUGAAAUGCGUAGAUAUCAAGAGGAACACCUGAGGUGAAGACGGGUUGCUGGGCCAACACUGACGCUGAGGCGCGAAAGCCAGGGGAGCAAACGGGAUUAGAUACCCCGGUAGUCCUGGCCCUAAACGAUGAAUACUUGGUGUCUGGAGUUUUAAUGCUCCGGGUGCCGUCGCUAACGUUUUUAGUAUUCCGCCUGGGGAGUACGCUCGCAAGAGUG